AACGAACGCUGGCGGCAGGCUUAACACAUGCAAGUCGAACGAUGUAGCAAUACAUAGUGGCGCACGGGUGAGUAACGCGUGGGAAUAUACCUUAUAGUGGGGAAUAACGUUGGGAAACUAACGCUAACACCGCAUACGCCCGAGAGGGGAAAGAUUUAUCGCUAUAAGAUUAGCCCGCGUGAGAUUAGGUAGUUGGUGGGGUAAUGGCCUACCAAGCCUACGAUCUCUAGCUGGUCUGAGAGGAUGAUCAGCCACACUGGAACUGAGACACGGUCCAGACUCCUACGGGAGGCAGCAGUGGGGAAUAUUGGACAAUGGAGGAAACUCUGACCCAGCCAUGCCGCGUGAAUGAUGAAGGCCUUAGGGUUGUAAAGUUCUUUCGCCGAUGAAGAUAAUGACGGUAGUCGGAGAAGAAGCCCCGGCUAACUUCGUGCCAGCCGCCGCAGUAA
RNAcentral lists this ribosomal RNA (449 nucleotides) under uncultured bacterium. RNAcentral describes it as "partial 16S ribosomal RNA". It matches the Rfam family "Bacterial small subunit ribosomal RNA", at positions 29 to 523 of the family's 1533-position model. The record is from RNAcentral.